This 251-nucleotide ribosomal RNA is filed under the name uncultured bacterium. RNAcentral describes it as "partial 16S ribosomal RNA". It matches the Rfam family "Bacterial small subunit ribosomal RNA", at positions 103 to 354 of the family's 1533-position model. The record is from RNAcentral.
CGGGUGAGUAACACGUGAGCAACCUGCCUUUCAGAGGGGAAUAACGUUUGGAAACGAACGCUAAUACCGCAUAACAUUGGGAUAUGGCAUCAUGACCCAAUCAAAGAUUUAUCGCUGAAAGAUGGGCUCGCGCCCGAUUAGGUAGUUGGUGAGAUAAUAGCCCACCAAGCCGACGAUCGGUAGCCGGACUGAGAGGUUGAACGGCCACAUUGGGACUGAGACACGGCCCAGACUCCUACGGGAGGCAGCAG